ACAUAUUUUAGAGCUAAAAUCAAAUUAACAAAAUAAUUAAAAUUACUUUCAAAUCCAAAUUCAUAUUAUUUUAAAAAUAAUAAUCUUAAAUUAUAUUUAAUGUAACCCAUUUCUUCUUUUCCAUAUACUACACCUUGAUCUGAUUUAUUUUUUUAUAAAAAUUCUUGAAUAUUAUAAUUCUUAUAAAAUAUUCAAAUUACGACGAUAUGUAAAUUAAUAAAAAAAGUAAAUUAAAUCGUGGAUUAUCGAUUACAGAACAGGUUCCUCUGAAUAGACUAAAAUACCGCCAAAAUCUUUAAUUUUCAAGAACAUAACUAUUACUAAUUUAGUUUUUAAAAUUACACUUAAA
Molecule: ribosomal RNA, 349 nt
Filed under: Gonioctena pallida
Lineage: Eukaryota; Metazoa; Arthropoda; Insecta; Coleoptera; Chrysomelidae
Description: partial 12S ribosomal RNA
Source: RNAcentral